RNAcentral lists this ribosomal RNA (1679 nucleotides) under Proteus mirabilis. RNAcentral's name for it is "partial 23S ribosomal RNA". It matches the Rfam family "Bacterial large subunit ribosomal RNA", at positions 1164 to 2825 of the family's 2925-position model. The record is from RNAcentral. Lineage: Bacteria; Pseudomonadati; Pseudomonadota; Gammaproteobacteria; Enterobacterales; Morganellaceae.
CGGUAGAUGUAACGGGGCUAAACCAUGCACCGAAGCUGCGUCAGCGACACAAAGUGUGGUUGGGUAGGGGAGCGUUCUGUAAGCCUGCGAAGGUGUACUGUGAGGUAUGCUGGAGGUAUCAGAAGUGCGAAUGCUGACAUAAGUAACGAUAAUGCGGGUGAAAAACCCGCACGCCGGAAGACCAAGGGUUCCUGUCCAACGUUAAUCGGGGCAGGGUGAGUCGACCCCUAAGGCGAGGCUGAAAAGCGUAGUCGAUGGGAAACGGGUUAAUAUUCCCGUACUGGUGGUAACUGCGAUGGGGGAACGGAGAAGGCUAGGUUGUCCGGGCGACGGUCGUCCCGGUUCAAGCAGGUAGGCAGAGUGAUUAGGCAAAUCCGGUCACUUAAUGCUGAGAUGUGAUGACGAACCACCAAGGUGGUGAAGCAAUUGAUGCCCCGCUUCCAGGAAAAGCCUCUAAGCUUCAGGUUACCAACAAUCGUACCCCAAACCGACACAGGUGGUCAGGUAGAGAAUACUCAGGCGCUUGAGAGAACUCGGGUGAAGGAACUAGGCAAAAUGGUGCCGUAACUUCGGGAGAAGGCACGCUGGCGGUAGGUAAAGUCCCUCGCGGACAGAGCUGAAGCCAGUCGAAGAUACCAGCUGGCUGCAACUGUUUAUUAAAAACACAGCACUGUGCAAACACGAAAGUGGACGUAUACGGUGUGACGCCUGCCCGGUGCUGGAAGGUUAAUUGAUGGGGUCAGCCGUAAGGCGAAGCUCCUGAUCGAAGCCCCAGUAAACGGCGGCCGUAACUAUAACGGUCCUAAGGUAGCGAAAUUCCUUGUCGGGUAAGUUCCGACCUGCACGAAUGGCGUAAUGAUGGCCAGGCUGUCUCCACCCGAGACUCAGUGAAAUUGAACUCGCUGUGAAGAUGCAGUGUACCCGCGGCAAGACGGAAAGACCCCGUGAACCUUUACUAUAGCUUGACACUGAACAUUGAGCCUUGAUGUGUAGGAUAGGUGGGAGGCUUUGAAGUGUGGACGCCAGUCUGCAUGGAGCCAACCUUGAAAUACCACCCUUUAACGUUUGAUGUUCUAACCUAGGCCCAUAAACUGGGUCGGGGACCGUGUCUGGUGGGUAGUUUGACUGGGGCGGUCUCCUCCUAAAGAGUAACGGAGGAGCACGAAGGUUGGCUAAGCAUGGUCGGACAUCAUGCGGUUAGUGCAAAGGCAUAAGCCAGCUUGACUGCGAGAGUGACGGCUCGAGCAGGUACGAAAGUAGGUCUUAGUGAUCCGGUGGUUCUGAAUGGAAGGGCCAUCGCUCAACGGAUAAAAGGUACUCCGGGGAUAACAGGCUGAUACCGCCCAAGAGUUCAUAUCGACGGCGGUGUUUGGCACCUCGAUGUCGGCUCAUCACAUCCUGGGGCUGAAGUAGGUCCCAAGGGUAUGGCUGUUCGCCAUUUAAAGUGGUACGCGAGCUGGGUUUAGAACGUCGUGAGACAGUUCGGUCCCUAUCUGCCGUGGGCGUUGGAAGAUUGAGAGGGGUUGCUCCUAGUACGAGAGGACCGGAGUGAACGCACCACUGGUGUUCGGGUUGUCAUGCCAAUGGCAUUGCCCGGUAGCUAAGUGCGGAAGAGAUAACCGCUGAAAGCAUCUAAGCGGGAAACUUGCCUCGAGAUGAGUCUUCCCUGUCGCUUUAAG